CCUACGGUGGGCUGCAGUGAGGAAUAUUGGUCAAUGGCCGUAAGGCUGAACCAGCCAAGUCGCGUGAAGGAAGAAGGAUCUAUGGUUUGUAAACUUCUUUUAUAGGGGAAUAAAGGUAUCUACGUGUGGAUAUUUGCAUGUAUCCUAUGAAUAAGCAUCGGCUAACUCCUGGCCAGCAGCCGCGGUAAUACGGAGGAUGCGAGCGUUAUCCGGAUUUAUUGGGUUUAAAGGGUGAGUAGGUUGUUUUUUAAGUCAGCGGUGAAAGUUUGUGGCUCAACCAGAAAAUUGCCGUUGAUACUGGAAGACUUGAGUGUGUUAGAGGUAGGCGGAAUGCGUGGUGUAGCGGUGAAAUGCAUAGAUAUCACGAAGAACACCGAUUGCGAAGGCAGCUUACUAGGCCAUAACUGACACUGAGGCACGAAAGCGUGGGGAGCAAACAGGAUUAGAUACCCGUGUAGUC
RNAcentral lists this ribosomal RNA (460 nucleotides) under uncultured bacterium. Its description in RNAcentral is "partial 16S ribosomal RNA". It matches the Rfam family "Bacterial small subunit ribosomal RNA", at positions 338 to 795 of the family's 1533-position model. The record is from RNAcentral.